Molecule: ribosomal RNA, 860 nt
Filed under: Alloprevotella rava F0020
Lineage: Bacteria; Pseudomonadati; Bacteroidota; Bacteroidia; Bacteroidales; Prevotellaceae
Description: bacterial SSU rRNA
Rfam family: Bacterial small subunit ribosomal RNA
Source: RNAcentral
UGCACGCAGGGAUGUUGGAUUCAUGGUGUAGCGGUGAAUGCUUAGAUAUCAUGAAGAACUCCGAUCGCGAAGGCAUAUGUCUGGAGUGCAACUGACGCUGAGGCUCGAAAGUGCGGGUAUCGAACAGGAUUAGAUACCCUGGUAGUCCGCACAGUAAACGAUGAAUACUCGCAGUGUGCGAUAUAUUGUAUGCUGCCAAGUGAAAACGUUAAGUAUUCCACCUGGGGAGUACGCCGGCAACGGUGAAACUCAAAGGAAUUGACGGGGGCCCGCACAAGCGGAGGAACAUGUGGUUUAAUUCGAUGAUACGCGAGGAACCUUACCCGGGCUUGAACUAAGCAGGAAGAUGGGCAGAGACGCCCGUUGUCUUCGGACCUGCUUGGAGGUGCUGCAUGGUUGUCGUCAGCUCGUGCCGUGAGGUGUCGGCUUAAGUGCCAUAACGAGCGCAACCCUUCUCCACGUUUGCCAUCAGUUUAAGCUGGGCACUCCGUGGAUACUGCCAUCGUAAGAUGUGAGGAAGGUGGGGAUGACGUCAAAUCAGCACGGCCCUUACGUCCGGGGCUACACACGUGUUACAAUGGCCGGUACAGAGGGAAGCCACCAGGCGACUGGGCGCUGAUCCAUGAAAACCGGUCUCAGUUCGGACUGGAGUCUGCAACCCGACUCCACGAAGCUGGAUUCGCUAGUAAUCGCGCAUCAGCCAUGGCGCGGUGAAUACGUUCCCGGGCCUUGUACACACCGCCCGUCAAGCCAUGAAAGCCGGGGGUGCCUGAAAGCUGUGACCGUAAGGGGCGGCCUAGGGUAAAACCGGUGAUUGGGGCUAAGUCGUAACAAGGUAGCCGUACCGGAAGGUGCGGCUG